AGGAAAGCAGGGGAUCGCAAGACCUUGCGCUUUUGGAGCGGCCGAUGUCUGAUUAGCUAGUUGGUGAGGUAAAGGCUUACCAAGGCGUCGAUCAGUAGCUGGUCUGAGAGGACGACCAGCCACACUGGGACUGAGACACGGCCCAGACUCCUACGGGAGGCAGCAGUGGGGAAUUUUGGACAAUGGGGGAAACCCUGAUCCAGCCAUGCCGCGUGAGUGAAGAAGGCCUUCGGGUUGUAAAGCUCUUUCAGCCGGAACGAAACGGUCACAGCUAAUACCUGUGACUACUGACGGUACCGGAAGAAGAAGCACCGGCUAACUACGUGCCAGCAGCCGCGGUAAUACGUAGGGUGCGAGCGUUAAUCGGAAUUACUGGGCGUAAAGCGUGCGCAGGCGGUUUUGUAAGUCAGAUGUGAAAUNCCCCGGGCUUAACCUGGGAACUGCGUUUGAAACUANCAAGGCU
This 463-nucleotide ribosomal RNA is filed under the name uncultured beta proteobacterium. RNAcentral describes it as "bacterial SSU rRNA". It matches the Rfam family "Bacterial small subunit ribosomal RNA", at positions 200 to 642 of the family's 1533-position model. Lineage: Bacteria; Pseudomonadati; Pseudomonadota; Betaproteobacteria. The record is from RNAcentral.